AAAAGAUCAAGAGCGGAGCGGAGAAGACCGAAGACCACCAAACCCAACGUGUGCGGGCUCACUUUGUUUAACAGUCGUCCUCCUCUCCCUCCUCCUAUUCCGCUGACAACCGCAGCAACUCCCACCUCCACCGUGGUGGCGCAGUGGCGGCCGGGGAUCGAGACCAACGCGAGAAAAAGUCUGGUGCCGUCCAGCUUCCAGGAUUCUCCACCAGUGAGUCCUUUGCUCCUCCCCUCUUGCUUCCCCGGUAGUUGGUUCUUGCCGGCGCGUGGAGGGGGAUGGGAUUUUUCCAGCUCUCGGGUCAGUUGCUCCGUUGAUUCUUCAGCUGCGGGGAGGUCACCUGGCGGCUCCGCCGGCCGGGCGCCGGUUUUUUCGUUUCUUCCGUUUUAGGUGACCUGUGACUCAAAUCUUGGCCUGGUCUUCGCUAUCUGAAGACCUGACAUCCCUCAUCAAUUUCAAGUGUGCCUGGAGAGGGGUCUACCAGAUUUUGCAAGAACAAGAUCUUGCAGUUCUGCAUACUCUGCCACUGGAUUUGGCGAUGGAGAGGCAGUCCAGCUCCCGGUUCGGCGCGCUGGAGAAGCUCAAGAGCUUCCGGGGCAUAGAGAAGCAGAGGAGCUUCAAGUUCCUGUCCAUGGAGAAGCAGCAGAGCUUCAAGGAGAGGCGGAGCCGGGACAGCCCCGGCAAGAGGGGCGACAGCGCGCUCCACCUCGCGGCGAGGGCCGGCAAUGUCUCCCACGCCCAGAGGAUCUUCGCCGACUGCGAUCCGGAGCUGGUGGGGGAGCUGGCCGCCCACCAGAACCUGGACGGCGAGACGGCGCUCUACGUGGCCGCCGAGAAGGGGCACGUCGACGUCGUGUGCGAGAUACUCAAGGCCUGCGACGUGCAGUCAGCAGGGCUCAAGGCGGCCAACAGCUUCGAUGCCUUCCAUAUCGCUGCGAAACAGGGCCAUCUGGAUGUUCUGCAGGAGCUAUUGCAGGCAUUUCCUGCGUUAGCUAUGACGACGAGUUCUGUGAAUGCCACAGCUUUAGACACCGCCGCAACGCAGGGCCACAUUGGUAUCGUCAAUCUUCUACUGGAUACAGACGCAAGCCUUGCCAGGAUCGCAAGAAGUAACGGGAAGACAGUUUUGCAUUCGGCCGCAAGAAUGGGUCAUGUGGAGGUGGUAGCGUCGUUGUUGAAUAAAGAUCCAGAUAUUGGUUUCAGAACAGACAGGAAGGGUCAAACAGCACUGCACAUGGCUUCUAAAGGCCAGAAUGCUGAAAUUCUGCUUGAGCUAUUGAAGCCCAAUGUCUCAGUAAUCCAUUUGGAGGAUAACAAGGGGAAUAGGGCACUGCAUGUUGCAACGCGCAAGGGCAACACCGUUAUGGUUCAGACUUUAAUAUCCAUUGAAGAGAUUGAUAUCAAUGCAGUCAAUAAGGCUGGAGAGACUGCUUUUGCCAUUGCAGAGAAACAAGGCAACGAAGAGCUUGUUAACAUCCUGCGGGAGGUUGGUGGAAUAACUGCAAAAGAGCAAGUAAAUCCUCCGAAAUCAGCCAAGCAGCUUAAGCAAACAGUGAGCGAUAUCAAGCAUGACGUCCAGUCACAGAUCAAGCAAACGCGUCAGACCAAGAUGCAUGUCCACAAGAUCAAGAAGAGGAUUCAGAAGCUCCACAUUGGCGGGCUAAACAAUGCCAUCAACUCCAAUACCGUUGUCGCAGUACUUAUUGCCACGGUUGCCUUUGCAUCCAUAUUCACCGUUCCUGGUAAUUUUCUUGAGAGUAUGGACAAAGCGACUGAGCCCCAUAUGAGCUUAGGGCAAGCACUGGUAGCAAGCAGGCCAGCCUUUAUAAUCUUCCUGGUCUUCGAUUCCCUGGCUCUCUUUAUCUCGCUUGCGGUCGUCGUCGUCCAGACUUCCCUGAUUGUUGUUGAGCAGAAGGCGAAGCAGAAGAUGGUGUUUGUGAUGAACAAGUUGAUGUGGCUCGCGUGCCUCUGCAUAUCAGCAGCCUUCAUAGCGCUGACCUAUGUCGUGGUGGGCCGCAAUGACGAGUGGCUGGCCUGGUGCACGAUGGCGAUCGGCACCGUGAUUAUGCUCACCACCAUUGGUUCUAUGUGCUAUUGCAUCAUCAGCCACAGGAUGGAAGCGCAGAGCAUGAGGAGGAUCAGGAGGUCCUCCAUGAGCCAGUCAUGGUCCAUAUCAGUCGACUCGGACACGGAGCUAGACAUGACCAGCAGAAACAAGACGAUGUAUGCGCUCUAGGACGAUUGGUCGAUGACCGACACCUCGUGCGGCAGAGUCAUGUAUAUAUCAUAGCCCGUUUGCCCGAGCCCGCAACACGGCAUUCAGCGGAUUCGACUCGAGAUGUAUCUAGGCCUAGGAGCAUGGUAGCUGUAUGUAUCAUGUAUGUAUGCAAUGCAAGUGAAGCCUCCUUUGCACAAACAAAGGGAGGCAUGUGGAUGCAGCUCCUGGGUAGACUGGUUCCAGGCAGAGCCACUUUUUAUAGGCACUAUAUAUAGGAGUAGUAGUACUUGUGAAGCAAAGAUGUUUUGCUCUUAUGCUUACUACCACUGUGGACGAUGAUGAUGAUGACAAUCCAUACAAUUAUGUAUACCAACCAGUAUAGUAGAAUAAAAUUGCCAUUUUGUCA
RNAcentral lists this ribosomal RNA (2624 nucleotides) under Triticum aestivum (bread wheat). RNAcentral describes it as "partial small subunit ribosomal RNA". Lineage: Eukaryota; Viridiplantae; Streptophyta; Magnoliopsida; Poales; Poaceae. The record is from RNAcentral.